UACGUAGGCAGCAAGCGUUGUUCGGAGUUACUGGGCGUAAAGGGCGCGUAGGCGGUCUUGCAAGUCCUGUGUGAAAUCCCUCGGCUCAACUGAGGAACUGCACAGGAAACUGCUUGGCUUGAGUUCGGGAGAGGGAAGCGGAAUUCCGGGUGUAGCGGUGAAAUGCGUAGAUAUCCGGAGGAACACCGGUGGCGAAGGCGGCUUCCUGGACCGACACUGACGCUGAGGCGCGAAAGCUAGGGGAGCAAACGGG
This 253-nucleotide ribosomal RNA is filed under the name uncultured bacterium. RNAcentral's name for it is "partial 16S ribosomal RNA". It matches the Rfam family "Bacterial small subunit ribosomal RNA", at positions 524 to 776 of the family's 1533-position model. The record is from RNAcentral.